UCCAUCACCCAGACACCCCAUCCCUCCCACCCGCCUCCCCUCCAGCAACCCUCAGUUCCCUGAGAUUGAGAGUGUCUCAUGCCUUGUCUCCUUCGCUGGUUUCAUCUAGUUUCAUUUUCCCCUCCCUUCCCCUAUGCUCCUUUGUCUUUCUCAAAUUCCUCAUAUCGGUGAAGUCAUGUGAUAGUUGUCUAGUAAGAGAGCUUUUAAGCAUUGAGCAGUCCACAUUGGAGCACCAGUAGAUCAGGAUAUAAUCUUGAGACGUAUUAUUUAGGCCAUUCAUUAGAUUACUUAAAAAAUCAAAGAAAUAUCUCUGUUUAGACUGCUCACCGCACUCAUUCCUUCUCUGGUACGUAUGUACUGUUUGUCAAGUACUUGGGAAAUAUAAAUAAGGUAUGUCCAUAUCUAGUGGUACAGAAAAAGAAGCAGACAGUUAGCAAAUGGCUUUAAUAAGUAACAAGUGUUUAUGUAUCAUGUUAUGGCAACACUAGAGUCGGAAGUUGUUAACUUUACCUGGGUUAGUAAGUAUUGUGUGAAUUAUAGGAUAUUCUAAUAUACUUUCUUCCAUUGGGAGUAUAACCUCUAAGGAAGACCGGAUGGAGAAUAACCACUAAGGAAGCUGG
Long non-coding RNA from Mustela erminea (ermine), 620 nucleotides. RefSeq lists it as uncharacterized. The record is from RefSeq and is a predicted model, not a curated record. The transcript is spliced from 4 exons. Lineage: Eukaryota; Metazoa; Chordata; Mammalia; Carnivora; Mustelidae.